RNAcentral lists this ribosomal RNA (464 nucleotides) under uncultured bacterium. RNAcentral's name for it is "partial 16S ribosomal RNA". It matches the Rfam family "Bacterial small subunit ribosomal RNA", at positions 28 to 505 of the family's 1533-position model. The record is from RNAcentral.
GACGAACGCUGGCGGCGCGCCUAACACAUGCAAGUCGAACGAGCGAGAGAGAGCUUGCUUUCUCGAGCGAGUGGCGAACGGGUGAGUAACGCGUGAGGAACCUGCCUCAAAGAGGGGGACAACAGUUGGAAACGACUGCUAAUACCGCAUAAGCCCACGGGUCGGCAUCGACCAGAGGGAAAAGGAGCAAUCCGCUUUGAGAUGGCCUCGCGUCCGAUUAGCUAGUUGGUGAGGUAAUGGCCCACCAAGGCGACGAUCGGUAGCCGGACUGAGAGGUUGAACGGCCACAUUGGGACUGAGACACGGCCCAGACUCCUACGGGAGGCAGCAGUGGGGAAUAUUGCACAAUGGGGGAAACCCUGAUGCAGCGACGCCGCGUGGAGGAAGAAGGUCUUCGGAUUGUAAACUCCUGUUGUUGGGGAAGAUAAUGACGGUACCCAACAAGGAAGUGACGGCUAACUACG